This 281-nucleotide unclassified non-coding RNA is filed under the name Pseudaleuria sp. RNAcentral describes it as "partial internal transcribed spacer region". The stretch from base 1 to 46 matches the Rfam family "Eukaryotic small subunit ribosomal RNA", at positions 1786 to 1831 of the family's 1831-position model. The record is from RNAcentral. Lineage: Eukaryota; Fungi; Ascomycota; Pezizomycetes; Pezizales; Pyronemataceae.
AAGUCGUAACAAGGUUUCCGUAGGUGAACCUGCGGAAGGAUCAUUAAAAGAUAUGGCAUAUUCCAUGUGGAUAUACCCAAUCAACCCAUUCUGAGUACCUUACCUGUUGCUUUCACACAGCGUCUGCGCUCUUUUGUGUGGACAUCCAAGCCGGCAUUAGCUUGUUGGCCUUGGACAUGUGUGAAAGGUAUACAUCAAACUCCUGCAUUACCAUGUAUUCUGUCUGAUUAUGUUUAAUACAAAAAAUAUUAAAACUUUCAACAACGGAUCUCUUGGUUCUC